AAAACUUUCAACAACGGAUCUCUUGGUUCCGGCAUCGAUGAAGAACGCAGCGAAAUGCGAUAAUUAAUGUGAAUUGCAGAAUUCAGUGAAUCAUCGAGUCUUUGAACGCACAUUGCGCCCCCCUGGUAUUCCRGGGGGCAUUGCCAGUCCGAGCGCU
This 157-nucleotide ribosomal RNA is filed under the name Ascomycota sp. MA5330. Its description in RNAcentral is "5.8S ribosomal RNA". It matches the Rfam family "5.8S ribosomal RNA". Rfam says of the family: 5.8S ribosomal RNA (5.8S rRNA) is a component of the large subunit of the eukaryotic ribosome. It is transcribed by RNA polymerase I as part of the 45S precursor that also contains 18S and 28S rRNA. The record is from RNAcentral. Lineage: Eukaryota; Fungi; Ascomycota.